Molecule: long non-coding RNA, 3736 nt
Organism: Hylaeus volcanicus
Lineage: Eukaryota; Metazoa; Arthropoda; Insecta; Hymenoptera; Colletidae
Exons: 3
Source: RefSeq, a predicted model, not a curated record
GUUUGAAUCAAGGUUCGAUGCGGAGAAUCGCGUCGCUUAGGUGGGAAAGCGGUUUACACUGGUGGGAUUUUUCAUUUGGAUUAACGUAGCGAUCACUCGCUCGAUGCACUAGUAGUAGCUUGCAAAACGCGUAAUUUUCACGUCGAAACAAAGAUGGCUUAUUCCGAUACAGCGAGAUUAAUCAGUUUAGUGCGUGACAGAAGUUUACUGUGGAACGAACACGUCAAAGACUAUUUUUCCAACGUGAAAAAAAAAGAUGGAUAUUGGAUGGAAAUAUGUCGCGAGAUGGUGGAGGAUUUCGAUGAUAUCCCCGAAGAAGAGAGGGUAAAAGUGAUCGAGUCGUUCAAAAAUUGGUGGAAUUAUCUCCGCGAUCGUUUCAUCGUAGAGUAUCGAAACGUUUCAAAAGAUCCAACGUUAGGCACGGAGUUUGAACAUUUCGACCACCUGAAGUUUUUAGUUGGAGGUUUGAAAGAGGAAAGGGACGAAUCGUGCCAGGAACAAUGUCAUGCUUGAAUGAAAUUUCGAUUUAUCGAUCAGAAUUAUUGGUAAAGAUUAUUUAAGCGUUGAAUCAGGAUUUUGCAUCAUCUACAAUGCGUUGAGUUUCGCAGGACUUACAUAUUUCUCGAGAAGUGACGGACAAUUCUACGAUCGCUUUGUUAAAUGAAAAUUUUUUAGAUAAAUUAAAAACAACUUAUUGGAAAUAGGGGUAUUGAGAGGGCAGGGCAUAUCCUAAUGUUUCUCCCUUUUUAUUCUGCAGUGACAGAUAUAUAGUCGAUUCCAUAAAUAUUCAUACCCUUUAUAUCUGCCGAAGAAAUUUGUCUAAAUUAAAUGAGAGGUUUUACGUUCCCAAAUAAAUGUUUCAUUAGAUAUAUAUGCUCAAAUAAACUUUACACUUGUAUGUAUUUAUAACGAGAAAUUUGUUGAAACCAGCAAACCUCUCAUUUAAUUUAGACAAAUAUCUUCGAUAGAAUAUAGCGAGUAAGAAUACUUAUGAGACUGACUGUAUACAUAUAUCCUCAGUACAUUUAUUUUUGUAGUAAAAUAAAAGGUUGAAUUAUAGUAAAUAAUCCAACACAAACUCCAUUAUAAUUUAACAAACUUUUCAUUCGAAUAAUCGUUGUCAAAGAUGGUGACAAGAGCGUAGCUGACAAUUAAGUAAUUUUAAAGAGAACUCUAGCGUUAAAACUUAUCGUUCCGCGAUUCUGCGAACACUUGGGAGCGUUUAUGGUCGUGGUUCUUUAUAGCUCGUCACGUUUCGCACGAUUCACGAUAAAGGGGUAGCUUAUAAGAGCGGGUCGGCGAGCUGGCCUGGGCCACUUGUCGGAAAAUCACAGCGCAGCAUGAACCGGGUUAGAUUUUGGCUGAGCGUGAUCGCAAUCGGCGCGAUUCUGUCCUUCUGGGCCAUCGACCACGGAAUCGCUGCACCAGCACCCGACCCUCGACACACGAUUUACAUCGUCACGCAUCGACCGAAGAAGCAUCCCACCGAAGUUAUCGUAAUUCACAGGCGCAAACCGAAGACCAAAACGCAUGUCAUCUUUAUCACGCCGUGAACAGACUCUAAAUGGAAAGAGAAUCGUAGUCUGUAAAUUGACAAAAAUGGUCUCGAGGAGGUGGAGCAGGGAUAAGAGCACGCAGGUGGCAAAGGUGUCUGUGAUCGAUGUUUCGUGUUCGAACUGACGGUGCUGCAAUUGUAUCUGCAUGUGAAAAAUUGUUACUUUCACCAAUAUAUAAUCGCUACAAACACUGUGCGUGUACAGUGACUACGAACAUUGUUUGGGUCCACAUGAAUCUUGUAGAAUAGUUACGAGAAGCAACCUGCCUUUUUAUUCCUCGCAAUAUUGCAAGUCACAAAUGAGAAUUUGGACAAAAUUGCUGCAGGUAUAUCGCUUAUUGUAAAUGGAGAUGAGGAUGCCAUAGAAGCUAAUUUACCUUCUGUUUCUGGUCCGGGUGUUGUAACUGGAAGAUGUGCAAGUUAACAAUCGCUGUCAACGACAAUUACUUAUUGUAUCGUGGAGAAUAAUUGUGUAAUAAAGUAUUUUUGGGGGAUAUGUUCCUAGAUUUACGACGUCCCCACAGAGGGGACAUUCAAGUAGAACAAAGUUCAAUUUAGUUUUUUUUCUGUUAUCUCCAAGCAUGAUUACAAUUUGUCCAAUAACGGACAUUUGGUAACCUGUGUUAGCAGGUGUGAAAAAAUCUGUUGUAACAUGUGGACAUGUUAGGAUAAUAGGUCCUUCGGAUUUUAUGUUGUACAGAUUUCUUGCUAGUUCAUUGGGGUGGAUGUCUAAUCUUGUUUUAUAUUUAGUAGUUACUCAAGUUAUUUCGUUUGCUACCGAUCUAAUUUUCAGAUCUUUGCGUAUUUCGUCAUUACGCACAUACCACGGUGCAUUGACCACAGUCCUAAAUAUGUAUAAUGGAUUGUGCGGAUUCUAAUUUUGAUAUGUGGCUUUUUGCUGCCAUGCCCCACAUUUCAAUUCCAUAUGUCCAUAUGGGUUUAAUAAUUGUUUUAUAUAUUAGUAGUUUGUUGCCCAUAUUUAAUUGUGAGAGUUUGGUGGCAAGUCUAGAUGCGUUCCUAAAUAUUUAACUACUUUAAUUUGAGGUACUAUGACAUUAUUAACGUUAUCGCAGAAACCGUGCUUUUCUUUAAGGUAAAACAUAUCACAAACGUGAUAUGUUUACAUUUGUCAGCAUUUACGUUUAUUUUCCAUACGCUUAACCACUGAUCGAGUUUUAAGAGAUGUUGUUGUAACAUGGAAGUUGCUGUCUGAGGGUCUUCGUGGGUGGUUAAAAUUGCUGUAUCAUCAGCCAAUGUAAAAAUUGUGGUUUCUUGUGUAGUAGGAAUAUUGGAAGUGUAUCAUGUAUACAUAUAGAAUAGGCUCCAAAAGAUACUGACCUGGGGGACUCUUGCUUCAAUAUCGUAGAUGUCCGAAGGGGAAUCCUGAAUUUGAACAAAAAAUGUUCUAUUUUUGAGAUAUGGCUUGAUGAGCUCGUAGUAAGAUAUAAGACAAUUUAGUAAAAUGUUAUACAAACCGUUUUCAUUAAUUUUUCAAAAAGCCUAACCUAAAUAACUUCACGUGAACACAAAGCAACCGAAUCCAGGGGAACUCUGGCAUAUCGAGUUUCCAGAAGUCCCAAAAUCGGCGCAUUGUCAGCCAAUCGUGGAACGAGACUCGUCCGAGCGUCGAUUAAAGUUUCUGGCGGCGUGUAAAGGAUGUCUCGAAACGCUCGGGACUCGAAACUCUCGCGGAUGCCCUCACACCGCGAACUCUUUACGGAAAGCGUGGCUUUUCCAGAGUUUCCCCGCAAAAUUGGCAAACUUUAGGCCUCGCAUCAACGAUGAGGCGCGAGCCUUCGAUAUCCGUACCAACUUGGUGUUAUAUCGCGCGAUACUAUCCGAAAUACUUCGAGAACUUUUAAGAUUCCCGUGUUCGCGUUAUCAUGGUAUUUGCUAUGCUUUGACAGGAGACAUUAGCGAAGUUGGUGGACAAACUGUAGGUUCUUUUCCAGAGGUAAAACUUUGGCGUUUUUCGAGUCCCCAUUUUAUUGCAACCUAUUGCUACCUCGACAAUAUCGGUGAUAAAAUGUCGAGGAAAGAAAGAAGCAUGUUUUGAGGUGCCCUAAAUCUCAAGUAAAAAAGUUUGGACGAUUAUUAAUUGAGUCGUUCGUUGUACAAAUUAAUUGACUCUAUAAAACAAAAAGUUGAAAUAAAUGAUUUAUUAUUCAGGAAAGUUGUUAU